Molecule: unclassified non-coding RNA, 415 nt
Filed under: Chlamydomonas reinhardtii
Lineage: Eukaryota; Viridiplantae; Chlorophyta; Chlorophyceae; Chlamydomonadales; Chlamydomonadaceae
Description: S4 rRNA from Chlamydomonas reinhardtii (PDB 7PKQ, chain 4)
Rfam family: Bacterial small subunit ribosomal RNA
Source: RNAcentral
AGCUCUUGCAUUGCUGAAUUUUUUUUUUUUUUUUUUUUUUAAAAAAAAAAAAAAUUUUUUUUUUUCAAGUCAUCAUGGGGCUUAUAGAGUGGGCUACAGGCGUAUUACAUUGGACACCCACAAGUUGCCAAAACUGUCCGAAUAUACGGAUUGGAGUAAAAAAAAAAAAUUUUUUAAAAUUUUUUUUUUUUUUUGCUGAAACUAGCCUCCAUGAAGAAGGAAUCGCGAGUAAUCGUAGAUCAUUAGCGCUACGGUGAAGGUAACCUCUAUUGUGCACACAUUGCCCGUCACCUCCGAUAAUAGUAUUGUACAGGAAGAACUAUGGCUACACUUAGUCGCGGCCUGGAACGUAUGCGUGAUAUUAGAGUUGGAGUAAGUCGUAACAGGUUGGGGUAGGGGAACCUGCUCCAGAGUC